This 253-nucleotide ribosomal RNA is filed under the name uncultured bacterium. Its description in RNAcentral is "partial 16S ribosomal RNA". It matches the Rfam family "Bacterial small subunit ribosomal RNA", at positions 524 to 776 of the family's 1533-position model. The record is from RNAcentral.
UACGUAGGGUGCGAGCGUUAAUCGGAAUUACUGGGCGUAAAGCGUGCGUAGGCGGUUCGUUAUGUCUGCUGUGAAAGCCCCGGGCUUAACCUGGGAAUGGCAGUGGAAACUGGUCAGCUGGAGGACGGUAGAGGCGAGUGGAAUUCCCGGUGUAGUGGUGAAAUGCGUAGAGAUCGGGAGGAACACCAGUGGCGAAGGCGGCUCGCUGGGCCGGUCCUGACACUGAGGCGCGAAGGCGUGGGGAGCGAACGGG